AUUGAACGCUGGCGGCAUGCUUUACACAUGCAAGUCGGACGAGUGGCGAACGGGUGAGUAAUGCCUCGGAACGUACCGGGUAGAGGGGGAUAACUAUCGGAAAGGACAGCUAAUACCGCAUACUAUUCGAGCGGCCGAUGUGUGAUUAGCUAGUUGGGGGGGUAAAGGCUCACCAAGGCGACGAUCACUAGCGGGUCUGAGAGGAUGACCAGCCACACUGGAACGGAGACACGGCCCAGACUCCUACGGGAGGCAGCAGUGGGGAAUUUUGGACAAUGGGCGCAAGCCUGAUGCAGCCAUGCCGCGUGUAUGAAGAAGGCCUUCGGGUUGUAAAGUACUUUUAGCAGGGAAGCGGUACCUGAAGAAUAAGCACCGGCUAACUACGUGCCAGCAGCCGCGGUAAUUC
RNAcentral lists this ribosomal RNA (406 nucleotides) under uncultured bacterium. RNAcentral's name for it is "partial 16S ribosomal RNA". It matches the Rfam family "Bacterial small subunit ribosomal RNA", at positions 30 to 526 of the family's 1533-position model. The record is from RNAcentral.